RNAcentral lists this unclassified non-coding RNA (556 nucleotides) under Alternaria alternata. RNAcentral describes it as "sequence contains 18S rRNA gene, ITS1, 5.8S rRNA gene, ITS2, 28S rRNA gene". The stretch from base 183 to 336 matches the Rfam family "5.8S ribosomal RNA". Lineage: Eukaryota; Fungi; Ascomycota; Dothideomycetes; Pleosporales; Pleosporaceae. The record is from RNAcentral.
UGCGGAGGGAUCAUUACACAAAUAUGAAGGCGGGCUGGAACCUCUCGGGGGUUACAGCCUUGCUGAAUUAUUCACCCUUGUCUUUUGCGUACUUCUUGUUUCCUUGGUGGGUUCGCCCACCACUAGGACAAACAUAAACCUUUUGUAAUUGCAAUCAGCGUCAGUAACAAAUUAAUAAUUACAACUUUCAACAACGGAUCUCUUGGUUCUGGCAUCGAUGAAGAACGCAGCGAAAUGCGAUAAGUAGUGUGAAUUGCAGAAUUCAGUGAAUCAUCGAAUCUUUGAACGCACAUUGCGCCCUUUGGUAUUCCAAAGGGCAUGCCUGUUCGAGCGUCAUUUGUACCCUCAAGCUUUGCUUGGUGUUGGGCGUCUUGUCUCUAGCUUUGCUGGAGACUCGCCUUAAAGUAAUUGGCAGCCGGCCUACUGGUUUCGGAGCGCAGCACAAGUCGCACUCUCUAUCAGCAAAGGUCUAGCAUCCAUUAAGCCUUUUUUUCAACUUUUGACCUCGGAUCAGGUAGGGAUACCCGCUGAACUUAAGCAUAUCAUAGGGGGGGGG